GAUGAACGCUGGCGGCGUGCCUAAUACAUGCAAGUCGAGCGAACAGACGAGGAGCUUGCUCCUCUGACGUUAGCGGCGGACGGGUGAGUAACACGUGGAUAACCUACCUAUAAGACUGGGAUAACUUCGGGAAACCGGAGCUAAUACCGGAUAAUAUAUUGAACCGCAUGGUUCAAUAGUGAAAGACGGUUUUGCUGUCACUUAUAGAUGGAUCCGCGCCGCAUUAGCUAGUUGGUAAGGUAACGGCUUACCAAGGCAACGAUGCGUAGCCGACCGGAGAGGGGGAUCGGCCACACUGGAACUGAGACACGGUCCAGACUCCUACGGGAGGCAGCAGUAGGGAAUCUUCCGCAAUGGGCGAAAGCCUGACGGAGCAGCGCCGCGUGAGUGAUGAAGGUCUUCGGAUCGUAAAACUCUGUUAUUAGGGAAGAACAAAUGUGUAAGUAACUAUGCACGUCUUGACGGUACCUAAUCAGAAAGCCACGGCUAACUACGUG
This 497-nucleotide ribosomal RNA is filed under the name uncultured bacterium. Its description in RNAcentral is "partial 16S ribosomal RNA". It matches the Rfam family "Bacterial small subunit ribosomal RNA", at positions 28 to 507 of the family's 1533-position model. The record is from RNAcentral.